CUGUUGCUUGCAACAGCGAAUUGUAGUCUCGAGAAGCGUCUUCCCGGCGGAUCUUCCCUGCCUAAGUUGCUUGGAACAGCACAUCGGAGAGGGUGACAAUCCCGUUUGUGGCAGGGGAGACCGUCCAUGAUACGCUCUCCAUGAGUCGGGUUGCUUGGGAAUGCAGCCCAAAAUUGGUGGUAAACUCCAUCUAAAGCUACAUAUUGGCACGAGACCGAUAGCGAACAAGUACCGUGAGGGAAAGAUGAAAAGAACUUUGAAAAGAGAGUUAAAAAGUGCGUGAAACCGUUAGAGGGGAAGCGGAUGCAGUUAGCAAUGCUUCUGUGAGAUUCAGGCGGUCGCUCGGCCAGACGUGCAGUUGGUGGAUCUGAAUGGACUGUCGCUGCACGGCCGGGUCUUGUGCCCGUCGCACUUCUCGCUGGAGCGCGUCAACAGCUGCUGAGCGUGGCCCAGACGGUUGAGUGGAAGGUGAGCGACCAGCUCGCUGGUCGUUGUUAUAGCCACUUGUACCCAGGUUUCGUUUGGCGGAGGGGAGCGGUGCAUGCUCUCCCUUUUUGCGGAGGGCUGGCGUCCUGUUCCGUUCACGUAGCUGGCUUGGAUGCACUGCGUGCAGUACGUUCUCGCCGGUGAAAUGGCGUGCAGUCAGCGCACACGAUGCACCAUGGUUGUUGGCGGCCAUAUGGCUUUAUCCGACCCGUCUUGAAACACGGACCAAGGAGUCUAACAUGUGCGCAAGUCCUGGGGUGACCGAAACCCAGAGGCGCAAUGAAAGUGAAGGCCACUCCGAGUGGCCGAGGUGAGAUCCUUGCUCUACGCGGGUGAGGCGCAUCAUCGACCGACCUAUUCUACUCUUAGGAAGGUUUGAGUAAGAGCGUACAUGCUGGGACCCGAAAGAUGGUGAACUAUGCCUGAGUAGGGUGAAGCCAGAGGAAACUCUGGUGGAAGCUCGUAGCGAUUCUGACGUGCAAAUCGAUCGUCGAACUUGGGUAUAGGGGCGAAAGACUAAUCGAACCAUCUA
This 1018-nucleotide ribosomal RNA is filed under the name Aurelia sp. 13 LGD-2017. RNAcentral's name for it is "eukaryotic LSU rRNA". It matches the Rfam family "Eukaryotic large subunit ribosomal RNA", at positions 124 to 946 of the family's 3401-position model. The record is from RNAcentral. Lineage: Eukaryota; Metazoa; Cnidaria; Scyphozoa; Semaeostomeae; Ulmaridae.